Long non-coding RNA from Hyaena hyaena (striped hyena), 437 nucleotides. RefSeq lists it as uncharacterized. The transcript has 4 exons. The record is from RefSeq and is a predicted model, not a curated record. Lineage: Eukaryota; Metazoa; Chordata; Mammalia; Carnivora; Hyaenidae.
GAAGGCGCUGCGCGUGGCAAGAGCCGGCGCACGGCCCCUGGGACCCGUGCUCCGACUCCUCCAGCACUGGACUCUCCAGCAUCCUGCCAGCUGUCUACUGCGCUGGGACAUCAGACUCCAUUUCCACCCUGGAGAUUCCCAGUCUGGGGGCUGGAGGACACCCGUUGCAACGUGGAAGGAAGACAGUGACACGACCCUGGCUGGAUAUGUCCAUCCCAGCACCUGAGCCACCCUGGCUGGCGACCACCCAGCACACCGGGGCUCCGAGGGUGACGUCCUGGCUCCUCACUGUAGGCCCAGCACAGCCCCAGCACAUGUGGAUGUCUGCUGGCUGAGAAUGAAGGAAGGGCCAGGACUGGGACAGGUACAGCCAGACCUUCAGGAACCACUGGCCAGCAUUGAGCCUCUGCAGGAUGGUCCAGUUCAGCAUGGAGGCG